CACAACAAACUUUCUACACAUCGAUGCAUGAUACUCCACUGAGGGGAGAGGCAUCCUCCUGGCCUCUCCUCUCUUCGGUUGUGAGGGGGUAUACAACCGAGGGACAUGGUGGACAUCACACACAGAUAUUCUGUAGCAUAGGAUAAGCUGCUAAACUUCUAGGAUGUUUUAAAGUCCUCCAACAUCUGUAAUUGUUUUCUGUGGUGACCAAGUCACGUGGGUCUGGAGAAGAUGGGCCACAGUGACCUCUUUGACAGCUUUCUGUUAAGUCGCUUAUAUAAGGGCAGCAAAAUCACAAAGGUCUCAGAUGAUUUUUUUCUUCUCCCGUUUCCUCUUUCCUUCAUAAAUCUUGAUUUUGCUUUUAUUUGACCAAACCAAUCUAAUGCCCAUUCUCCCUCCUAUACAACGGUAAAUCAACAUGCAAAUAGCUAUCCCUUUAUUAUUCUUUGAUAGAUUUCUGCAGUGGCUAUGUCCAUAAAAAUUAGCCCAUUUGCAAUACAUCACUGGAACCAACAGAACUCUGCACCCAACAGGCACCUUGUGCAGACCUGUACCCUUAGAGCUAUUGGCUCAUGUUCCUUCAUUCUUCUAUUGGAAAUCAUCAGUAGAAACUGAGCUCUUUGGCUUUUACCCACUACUAUGGCUAUAGUACAUUUUCUCUCUCAUCUCUCUCAUUUUUGUGCCAUGAUUUUCUGCCAUUAGUGACUCCAGUGUGGGUUUCUGGUUUUGAUGUUACGAGUGAACUUCUGGGAUCAUUUUAUGACCAUGUAACAGUCGGUAUUAAAUUAUUCUCUUGAUGAAGAUUUGUGUUGUUCCCAGUUUUUCCUUAGUAUAAAAAUGAGUUUAAUAAGAACAUUUUUGGUAGAAGCCUUAUUGGAUGUAUUGUUCAUUUAACGGGGGUAAUCAAUAAAUGUAAGUGUGCUUCCUU
RNAcentral lists this long non-coding RNA (928 nucleotides) under Pongo abelii (Sumatran orangutan). RNAcentral's name for it is "lincRNA". Lineage: Eukaryota; Metazoa; Chordata; Mammalia; Primates; Hominidae. The record is from RNAcentral.